CGUCGGUUAGCUCAGUGGGUAGAGCACCAGAGUGUGACUCUGGGAGUCGCAGGUUCGAAUCCUGUACCGAGCUCCA
RNAcentral lists this transfer RNA (76 nucleotides) under Maioricimonas rarisocia. RNAcentral describes it as "Planctomycetes bacterium Mal4 tRNA-His". The stretch from base 3 to 70 matches the Rfam family "tRNA". Rfam says of the family: Transfer RNA (tRNA) molecules are approximately 80 nucleotides in length. Their secondary structure includes four short double-helical elements and three loops (D, anti-codon, and T loops). The record is from RNAcentral. Lineage: Bacteria; Pseudomonadati; Planctomycetota; Planctomycetia; Planctomycetales; Planctomycetaceae.